CGAUCAGUAGGGGUUCUGAGAGGAAGGUCCCCCACAUUGGAACUGAGACACGGUCCAAACUCCUACGGGAGGCAGCAGUGAGGAAUAUUGGUCAAUGGACGAGAGUCUGAACCAGCCAAGUAGCGUGCAGGAAGACGGCCCUAUGGGUUGUAAACUGCUUUUAUAAGGGAAUAAAGUGAGAGUCGUGACUCUUUUUGCAUGUACCUUAUGAAUAAGGACCGGCUAAUUCCGUGCCAGCAGCCGCGGUAAUACGGAAGGUCCGGGCGUUAUCCGGAUUUAUUGGGUUUAAAGGGAGCGUAGGCCGGAGAUUAAGCGUGUUGUGAAAUGUAGACGCUCAACGUCUGCACUGCAGCGCGAACUGGUUUCCUUGAGUACGCACAAAGUGGGCGGAAUUCGUGGUGUAGCGGUGAAAUGCUUAGAUAUCACGAAGAACUCCGAUUGCGAAGGCAGCUCACUGGAGCGCAACUGACGCUGAAGCUCGAAAGUGCGGGUAUCGAACAGGAUUAGAUACCCUGGUAGUCCGCACGGUAAACGAUGGAUGCCCGCUGUUGGUCUGAAUAGGUCAGCGGCCAAGCGAAAGCAUUAAGCAUCCCACCUGGGGAGUACGCCGGCAACGGUGAAACUCAAAGGAAUUGACGGGGGCCCGCACAAGCGGAGGAACAUGUGGUUUAAUUCGAUGAUACGCGAGGAACCUUACCCGGGCUUGAAUUGCAGAGGAAGGAUUUGGAGACAAUGACGCCCUUCGGGGCCUCUGUGAAGGUGCUGCAUGGUUGUCGUCAGCUCGUGCCGUGAGGUGUCGGCUUAAGUGCCAUAACGAGCGCAACCCCUCUCCUUAGUUGCCAUCAGGUUAAGCUGGGCACUCUGGGGACACUGCCACCGUAAGGUGUGAGGAAGGUGGGGAUGACGUCAAAUCAGCACGGCCCUUACGUCCGGGGCUACACACGUGUUACAAUGGCAGGUACAGAGAGACGGUUGUACGUAAGUACGAUCAAAUCCUUAAAGCCUGUCUCAGUUCGGACUGGGGUCUGCAACCCGACCCCACGAAGCUGGAUUCGCUAGUAAUCGCGCAUCAGCCAUGGCGCGGUGAAUACGUUCCCGGGCCUUGUACACACCGCCCGUCAAGCCAUGAAAGCCGGGGGCGCCUAAAGUCCGUGACCGUAAGGAGCGGCCUAGGGCGAAACUGGUAAUUGGGGCUAAGUCGUAACAAGGUA
This 1211-nucleotide ribosomal RNA is filed under the name metagenome. RNAcentral's name for it is "bacterial SSU rRNA". It matches the Rfam family "Bacterial small subunit ribosomal RNA", at positions 277 to 1498 of the family's 1533-position model. The record is from RNAcentral.